Molecule: Y RNA, 112 nt
Filed under: Prolemur simus (greater bamboo lemur)
Lineage: Eukaryota; Metazoa; Chordata; Mammalia; Primates; Lemuridae
Description: Y RNA (ENSPSMG00000015060.1)
Rfam family: Y RNA
About the family: Y RNAs are components of the Ro ribonucleoprotein particle (Ro RNP), in association with Ro60 and La proteins. The Y RNAs and Ro60 and La proteins are well conserved, but the function of the Ro RNP is not known.
Source: Rfam by way of RNAcentral
GGGUAGUCUGAAGGUAGUGAUUUAUCUCAAUUGAUUGUUCACAGUCAUUUACAGAUGGAGCUCCUCAUUCUACUCAUUCCCCGUUCUCACUACUGUACUUGGCUAAUCUUUA